RNAcentral lists this ribosomal RNA (260 nucleotides) under uncultured bacterium. RNAcentral describes it as "partial 16S ribosomal RNA". It matches the Rfam family "Bacterial small subunit ribosomal RNA", at positions 95 to 354 of the family's 1533-position model. The record is from RNAcentral.
UUGGCGGACGGGUGAGUAACGCGUGGGUAACCGUGCCUCACACUGGGGGAUAACACUUAGAAAUAGGUGCUAAUACCGCAUAAGCGCACGGGACUGCAUGGUCUUGUGUGAAAAACUCCGGUGGUGUGAGAUGGACCCGCGUCUGAUUAGCUGGUUGGCGGGGUAACGGCCCACCAAGGCGACGAUCAGUAGCCGGCCUGAGAGGGUGGACGGCCACAUUGGGACUGAGACACGGCCCAAACUCCUACGGAAGGCAGCAG